CCUUUUUUUUUAAUAAAAAAAUUGCAUUUCGUUCCUAAAGGCUAAAGCAUCGAGAUGGACUUAAUGUGUACCCUUUGUAUACCCAAUCCCCACGUCUGAAAUUAGAAAAAUAGCAUAAUUAUUAAGUAAGCAAAUUCCGCACAUAAAAUAUGUUUGAGUGAGAGGGGUUUGUGUUUGACACAAGUCUACCACAGAUAACACUCGUCUGGCAAAAGUGUCCAUGCUUCCUAGCUUUGAAAUUUUGGUUGAGCGACUUCAGAAACCUGAACCUAUAGAUGAAAGCAUUAUAGCAAUGAAUCUGCUAAAUCUGGUGUCUGAUGACUCUUUUUUUGAUGGAUUUGAUGUGGUGUCUAUAAUUGAGAAAGAUACUGGGUCCUGCUAGGGGUAUUAGGACCAACCAUGGGCCGGAGGCAAGUGAAUGCAUGCUUGAGCAACCUAUUCUGUUACCUGCCAGCUGUCAAGAUCAAUGACAUAACUGCAAUGCUCUCUUUCCAAUAAUCAUGAUAUUAUUCCUUUUCUGAAUGUGGGUUCAUACCAACUCGAACCUUGAUCUUGAAAAUGGAAUUUACUACACAAUUCCACCCAGACAAGAAAAGCUAGUAAUAUCAAGAUAUUCUUCUGGAAAGUUGUUUUUAAUAAUGUGUUGAUUUCCAUAUUAAUGCAUAUUAUGAUUAUAAAAAAAAAUAAAAAAUAAAAAAAAUGUGAUUCCUUGGAUGUCCCUAGAAGUGUCUAUGCACACACGUCUCUCGCUUCUUGCUCUAUUUAUUCUUUAACAUGAUGUAUUACCGAAUUUGCAUCAGCAUCCUAGUUUGACUAUUCGGUGCUAUUUAUGACCAGUAUCAUUUCUAAUUCUCUAUGUAGGCUGAUCAGUCGGGAACAAUAGUUGAGAUCCUUGCAGAAGAUGGCAAGCCUGUCAGUGUUGACACCCCUCUCUUUGUCAUCAAACCAUAGAGCAGAAUGGAGUGAAAAGCGGUACUUAGAAAUUUGUUUGUCUCAGAAUUGUUUUGAGACCAGCAUUAAACGUUUACUCGCAGGUACCGGUGCUUUUGCAUGGAUGAGAAUUUAGUUAAAAAUCGAAUUGUACUCGCUUUGAAUAAUUUGCUUUCUAUUGUUGUCUUAGAGUUAUUUGUCUCUUCAAAUUAUCUUGUGUGGAUAAGACUGCUGUAUUUUUAUUAUGAAUUAUUCUAGUUGUACAAUCCCGGUUGACAAUGAAUUCACAAGAGGAGGGACUCAUGAUUUUUUUAUUCAAUGUGCCUCUCAUGUGUGUGAUUGUCAACCGGGAUUGUCAAUCCCGUUUGUUCAUGUAGUAUAACUGUUUUAUUAUUAUGGUUAUCUUACUUUCUAUAUGAGGAUUUGGUUCCAAUUUUGUAAGGUGAAAAUUCAAUGCACUAUGUAAUUAAUGUUCA
Olea europaea var. sylvestris is the source of this 1406-nucleotide long non-coding RNA. RefSeq lists it as uncharacterized. The transcript is spliced from 2 exons. The record is from RefSeq and is a predicted model, not a curated record. NCBI's taxonomy places the organism in Eukaryota, Viridiplantae, Streptophyta, Magnoliopsida, Lamiales, Oleaceae.